RNAcentral lists this ribosomal RNA (453 nucleotides) under Staphylococcus succinus. RNAcentral's name for it is "bacterial SSU rRNA". It matches the Rfam family "Bacterial small subunit ribosomal RNA", at positions 949 to 1402 of the family's 1533-position model. The record is from RNAcentral. Lineage: Bacteria; Bacillati; Bacillota; Bacilli; Caryophanales; Staphylococcaceae.
AUUUGAAGCAACCCGAAAAACCUUUCCAAAUCCUGACAUCCUUUGAAAACUCCAGAGGAUAGGGCCUUUCCUUCGGGGGACAAAGUGACAGUUGGUGCAUGGUUGUCGUCAGCUCGUGUCGUGAGAUGUUGGGUUAAGUCCCGCAACGAGCGCAACCCUUAAGCUUAGUUGCCAUCAUUAAGUUGGGCACUCUAGGUUGACUGCCGGUGACAAACCGGAGGAAGGUGGGGAUGACGUCAAAUCAUCAUGCCCCUUAUGAUUUGGGCUACACACGUGCUCCCCAUGGACAAUACAAAGGGCAGCUAAACCGCGAGGUCAUGCAAAUCCCAUAAAGUUGUUCUCAGUUCGGAUUGUAGUCUGCAACUCGACUACAUGAAGCUGGAAUCGCUAGUAAUCGUAGAUCAGCAUGCUACGGUGAAUACGUUUCCGGCCUUUACACACCGCCCCUCACAC